UACGGAGGGUGCAAGCGUUGUCCGGAAUUAUUGGGCGUAAAGAGCUCGUAGGCGGUCUGUCGCGUCGGCUGUGAAAACCUGGGGCUCAACUCCGGGCCUGCAGCCGAUACGGGCAGACUAGAAUUCGGUAGGGGAGACUGGAAUUCCUGGUGUAGCGGUGAAAUGCGCAGAUAUCAGGAGGAACACCGGUGGCGAAGGCGGGUCUCUGGGCCGAUAUUGACGCUGAGGAGCGAAAGCGUGGGGAGCGAACAGG
Molecule: ribosomal RNA, 253 nt
Filed under: uncultured bacterium
Lineage: Bacteria
Description: partial 16S ribosomal RNA
Rfam family: Bacterial small subunit ribosomal RNA
Source: RNAcentral